AAGGUUUUAAGUUAUUAAACUAAUAGCCUUCAAAGUUGUCAUAAAGAGUUUUUAAUCUCUUAAACCUUA
This 69-nucleotide transfer RNA is filed under the name Thysanoessa raschii. RNAcentral's name for it is "tRNA-Trp". Lineage: Eukaryota; Metazoa; Arthropoda; Malacostraca; Euphausiacea; Euphausiidae. The record is from RNAcentral.